Molecule: ribosomal RNA, 468 nt
Filed under: uncultured bacterium
Lineage: Bacteria
Description: partial 16S ribosomal RNA
Rfam family: Bacterial small subunit ribosomal RNA
Source: RNAcentral
GACGAACGCUGGCGGCGUGCUUAACACAUGCAAGUCGAACGGAAAGGCCCUGCUUUUGUGGGGUGCUCGAGUGGCGAACGGGUGAGUAACACGUGAGUAACCUGCCCUUGACUUUGGGAUAACUUCAGGAAACUGGGGCUAAUACCGGAUAGGAGCUCCUGCUGCGUGGUGGGGGUUGGAAAGUUUCGGCGGUUGGGGAUGGACUCGCGACUUAUCAGCUUGUUGGUGGGGUAGUGGCUUACCAAGGCUUUGACGGGUAGCCGGCCUGAGAGGGUGACCGGCCACAUUGGGACUGAGAUACGGCCCAGACUCCUACGGGAGGCAGCAGUGGGGAAUAUUGCACAAUGGGCGGAAGCCUGAUGCAGCAACGCCGCGUGCGGGAUGACGGCCUUCGGGUUGUAAACCGCUUUCGCCUGUGACGAAGCGUGAGUGACGGUAAUGGGUAAAGAAGCACCGGCUAACUACGUG